UACGGGGGGGAGCAAGCGUUGUUCGGAUUUACUGGGCGUAAAGGGCGCGUAGGCGGCGUGUCAAGUCAGGCGUGAAAGCCCCGGGCUCAACCUGGGAACCGCGCUUGAGACUGGCAUGCUCGAGUUCGGGAGAGGAUGGUGGAAUUCCCAGUGUAGAGGUGAAAUUCGUAGAUAUUGGGAAGAACACCGAUGGCGAAGGCAGCCAUCUGGACCCGACACUGACGCUGAGGCGCGAAAGCGUGGGGGAGCAAAACAGG
Molecule: ribosomal RNA, 257 nt
Filed under: uncultured bacterium
Lineage: Bacteria
Description: partial 16S ribosomal RNA
Rfam family: Bacterial small subunit ribosomal RNA
Source: RNAcentral